RNAcentral lists this transfer RNA (56 nucleotides) under Neoscona multiplicans. RNAcentral's name for it is "tRNA-Ser". Lineage: Eukaryota; Metazoa; Arthropoda; Arachnida; Araneae; Araneidae. The record is from RNAcentral.
GAUUUUAAUUGAGGUUGUUUUGAAAGCAAUCUAUAAGAGAUAGUUCUUUAAAGUCA